UGGUUCUGGCAUCGAUGAAGAACGCAGCGAAAUGCGAUAAGUAAUGUGAAUUGCAGAAUUUAGUGAAUCAUCGAAUCUUUGAACGCACAUUGCGCCCUUGGGUAUUCCUGAGGGCACACCUGUUCGAGCGCCGUUUCAAAUUCUAAGACUUUGUCUUGAGAUGAUGCUGCCCAACCUUGGGCUCAUCGAAACUUGCAGGCGCUGUUUAUUGAUUAGCGACGUAGCAAAAUACGGAAGCUCCUCUUUAAACAACAGCCGAUAACAUUCAUUGUUUGGCCUCGGAUCAGGUGGGGUUACCCGCUGA
Molecule: unclassified non-coding RNA, 304 nt
Filed under: uncultured fungus
Lineage: Eukaryota; Fungi
Description: partial contains 5.8S ribosomal RNA and internal transcribed spacer 2
Rfam family: 5.8S ribosomal RNA (bases 1-133)
Source: RNAcentral